This is an RNA transcript of Gopherus evgoodei (Goodes thornscrub tortoise), 2813 nucleotides long. It is a transcript of the gene named membrane associated ring-CH-type finger 10, with no coding region annotated. The record is from RefSeq and is a predicted model, not a curated record. Lineage: Eukaryota; Metazoa; Chordata; Testudines; Testudinidae. The transcript is spliced from 12 exons.
UUGGUCUGACCCGGUAGUUCUUAUGUUCAUAGGGGAGUGAUCUCCCAAAACACCCCUUUCUCAAUGGAGCAUGCCCCAGCAUCUCCUUAGCGGGAGAUCUCUCCCCACCAUCUCUAGGGAUGAAUCCCACCCCUGCACCCGCCAGCAUCCUCUCAUGAGAGCAGAAUCCCCCUGAUCCUCCCACAGGGAACGCCUCCACAGCAUUCCCCCCAUCCUCAGGGAGGGGCAACCCACCACUCAUUCCUAGGGGAGCUUCCCAGGAACUAGCUUUCAUGCUCCAUUAGUGUAGCAAAUAACCCCCCCUGCCAUAUCUCCUCCUCCCAAGGUGUCUCCAGGGAAGGAUUUCUGCACUGUUCAAAGGUUCUGCUUACCUACUAUAAUGUACGACUCCAGAGGAAGACAGAAGUUCAUCAGCGAUGCUCAGUAUGUGAGGGAAAUGCAACACAAGAUGGAUUCAGAGUAUCAGGCUUGCCUGAGAAGACAGGAGCAGAAUAGAGAACAGAUUGAGAAGAAACGAGAGCAACAUGCCAGGCAAGAACAGAGACAGAAAACCCUAUCUUCCAUCUAUGCUACACGCAGCUAUGAAAGACCAUGGAUAUCAGGCAUACCAGUUACCAGACAGACCUCUGCAGAUGAGGGUUCUGGGUCUGCCAUCAAGUCUUCUGCAAACAGAUCUGACUCAAAAUUCCCCACUAUAGAAAAAAUAUCAAGCAAGCAAAAGCAAAACCCUCCCAUGAGCUCCAGCAAAGUAACUCCAGCUGCCCAGAAGCAGUCAUUAUUAAGGAGAAAGAGAAUGAACCAGGGAGGAUUGUUGGGAAGCCCAGACACACAGAAUAUGAGAAAAUUGGAAGACAAAGACAGACGGGCCUUGUUGCUACAGGCAAAGGCACAAGUUACCAGCGCAACUGAUCUUGGAGUGACAAAUGAAACUACGCUCACGAACAAGAAGAGAUCUCAAGAGAGAAGGAAUGUAAUCCAGUCUCCUAAGCUAAAUCUCGAUCGUAAAGGUCUAGACAAAGAUAGCAAAAUAGGAAAUGUCCUUCCACAGACUCAGCAGUCUCCAACUCUGUCAUCUGCAUCUACCUUGCAAGGAGCUCAUGGUUCCUUUGUCUCAAAUGAGUCACAUGGUCCAUCUUUUAUACCCACUAAAAUGGCCCCUUUGAGGUUUAGAGAUGAAAACUUUUAUUCUAUGCUUUGCUUAAACAUGGAAGAGUCCUGUGAAGAAAAUGAUACUAAAGACGAUGAUAUACUAGAGAAGGAAUUCCUUUCUUUCAAUCUAAAUCGUUCUCCUACUCCUCUAGAACAAAUUAGCAAAUUUAGUGGAACAUCUUUGGCACAAGAUGAACAAUGUAACUCUGAAGAAACUGGAGAUGAUAGAAGCAUUUCAUCAAGGAGUGUGGAAUCUUCUCAUCAACCAUUAAGACAACACAAUGUAAUGGACACAACUGUUGAACAGUCUUCAUUAAGGCAAAGAAACUUUAGGGACUAUGGAAAGUCUUACACUCUAGAUGGGAAUUCUUCUGAAGGUGCUGAUUGCAAUAAAAAUGAAAAUGAAACUCCAUUAUUUAGUUCAAGAAGCUCACGAGCUGAAAGCAGACCAGGCAGCGCACCUAUUGCUGGGACUCUUAAUAACAUUAGCUCUAUAGAUAGGCCUAGCGUUAAUAUUUAUAACAGAGAAUUGCAAGCCUAUGAAAGCAGUCAGAGGCGUUAUACUGAUCUCCUUACUUCUGCACGGUCAACAGUUCAUAGACCAUUAUUGUAUUCUGCAUAUAAUACUCCAAGAUCAUUAAUACAAUCUGCACAUAGAGCUGAGGUCUCAACAACUGUAUCAUCUCAAGUAUUGGAUUUGGAUGGAAAUUCAAGGUUUAAUGUUCGUAGACCCUUGUCUCCUAUAAGAAGUAGAGAUUCUUUUUCUGCUACAGAAAGUUAUGAAUCUUCAUCACCUAUAGUCAGUACACCUGAAGAUAAUAGCCUACUGGAUGAUAGUAUAGAUAAUGGUUUAAAGAGUACAUCUGCAAAUGCUUCCUUACAUGAUGAAGAGAACUUACUAAAUUCACAUAGUUCUUUUUUAUCUAUAGAUUCUUCCAGCCCAUCUUUGUUUCAAACAAAUUUCACAGCCCACCUUCACAUGGCUGGCACAUUACAUGAUCAAUUACCACUUGCUUUGCUGGCAGUGUCUGAUUUACAAAAUCAAAGGAGUUCUGUGAGCAGCAUUGCAGCCUGUGACACCACAAGUGCAAAGGAAAUAAACAAACAUGCAGACCCAGAGAAGCUUAAGAAACUGCAGGAGAGUCUACUAGCAGAAGACUCAGAAGAGGAAGGAGACCAGUGUCGGAUAUGUCAGAUUGCUGGGGGCUCUUUAACCAAUCCACUGGUAGAACCAUGUGGGUGCGUAGGAACCUUACAGUUUGUUCAUCAGGAAUGUCUAAAAACAUGGCUGAAAGCUAAGAUAAAAUCAGGUGCUGAGCUGGGGGCAGUGAAAACCUGUGAACUGUGUAAGCAGAGCCUGAUAGCUGAUCUGGAUGAUUUUGAUGUGAAUGACUAUUAUAGAAAUCACCAACAGUCUCGGGCACAAAGUGAGCUAAUGAAUUCAGGUCUCUACCUUGUGCUGCUCCUUCACCUUUAUGAACAGAGGUUUGCAGAGCUUAUGCGACUAAACUACAAUCAAGCCAGCAGAGACAGGCCCAUGGCAGAUGCUGCGAUGCCAAUCUGAUGGAGAACUUCCGUGUGAGAAUUGGAGGAGCUGCUCUCAAGACAGCCUAGAGCAGAGGAAAGUGAAAAUUCAGAGUCGGGGAACAAUGGAUAGAAGAGUG